CUGGUUUCAGAUGAGCACCUUUCUACCUGGGUCCUCAAAACAUUCUCUGAGAUCACAAACUCUCCCCAACCAUUUGAUCUAUGCUGUGUCUCUCGUUAUCUUACCACAACAGGCGUGAAGAUAUCUAUUGACAGAGCACAGAACCUUCCCUGGUCUGGCUUCACGCUCGCUCACAUCUGCUUCAACCCUCCAGCUGCAUUUUAUUUUGGACAACCUUGGUCAAAGUAUGACCAUCCCACCCCAGUCGAUGACAUUGACCUUAACAGCUAUCAGAAAUGCCCAGUGUGGAAGGAUGGUUUUAAGUCCUUUAUCCAAAGAUUUUACCAUGAGCAUUUAACAAUUGUCUGUCAAUUGCAUGAGAUCGUACUGAGCACAGAAACCAACAGCAGCCAACGCAUAGAACAUUCUGAUCUUCAAGAGGGUUCUUAUGAGUUACAUCAUGGAGUCAAAGCAUGGACGGCUCUUCAAGUCUUCUACAAAAAUUACUGUAAUCUGGGUGUUUACCAACUAC
Molecule: long non-coding RNA, 511 nt
Organism: Bombina bombina (fire-bellied toad)
Lineage: Eukaryota; Metazoa; Chordata; Amphibia; Anura; Bombinatoridae
Exons: 3
Source: RefSeq, a predicted model, not a curated record